UACAGAGGCCCCAAGCGUUACUGAGAAUCACUGGGUUUAAAGGGUGCGUAGGUGGUCCGUUAAGUUCGUUGUGAAAUCCCUGGGCUCAACCCAGGAAAUGCUUCGAAUACUGGCGGACUUGAGGCUAGUAGAGGUCACUGGAACUGACGGUGGAGCGGUGAAAUGCGUAGAUAUCGUCAGGAACGCCGAUGGUGAAGACAGGUGACUGGGCUAGUUCUGACACUGAGGCACGAAAGCGUGGGGAGCGAUCGGG
Molecule: ribosomal RNA, 253 nt
Filed under: uncultured bacterium
Lineage: Bacteria
Description: partial 16S ribosomal RNA
Rfam family: Bacterial small subunit ribosomal RNA
Source: RNAcentral